AUAAUACUUCCUCCGUCCGGAAAUACUUGUCAUUGAAAUGGAUGUAUCUAGAUGUAUUUUAGUUCUAGAUACAUCCAUUUUCAUCCAUUUUGAUGACAAGUAUUUUCGGACGAAGUCGGACGGAGGGAGUACCAA
Molecule: non-coding RNA, 135 nt
Organism: Triticum aestivum (bread wheat)
Lineage: Eukaryota; Viridiplantae; Streptophyta; Magnoliopsida; Poales; Poaceae
Source: Rfam